Molecule: small RNA, 1042 nt
Filed under: Histoplasma capsulatum
Lineage: Eukaryota; Fungi; Ascomycota; Eurotiomycetes; Onygenales; Ajellomycetaceae
Also listed under: 1 other name
Description: hypothetical RNA
Source: RNAcentral
UGCCCAUGCAUAGCUAUCCCGAUGUCAAUGGGAGAGCAUGUUUAUCCCUUCUGAUCUGGUUAUUUUUGGUAGUCAAUAACUAGUAAAUAUACGCUCAUGAAGUGAGGACUCACUGAAAACUCAGUAUCUUACUUCCAAGCAAUUCCACUGCUUUGACAAUAAAUGUGAUGACGCGUACCCCACAGCUGAAGUUCAAACUUCCUGAAAAUAGUAGCAAUUGCGAUAAGCAGUGUCGUCUGCGCUAGACUGUUAAAUGGUAGAGCAAGCAUCAGAUUGGACACCAGGUAUCUCUCAAGUCGCUUUCGUUCCUGCAGGUCCAGCCAGCGCUCUGGAACAAACUUGCAUGAGUUUGGGAAGAUGGUUUCAUUGUGGUGCAUGAGAACCGAUGUCAUUCCAACGGGAGUCUGUCAAUUGGAAGAAAGGGCUCAUGAGCAAGGUCCGUCUUGUCGAUGUUCAAAUAAUAAUAAGAUAGCGACUUCCGUUGCAGCCGUGUGCUUACUCCGUACGACAACCUAGGAGUCAAGUUUCAUUAACCUUCUGUCAAUCUGGGUUCCGUACACCAGGAGACAAACCAGGUAUGGAAGCUUUCCCAGCUCGUGGACUUGCUGCUCAGAAUUGCCACCGUCUUCCAAAAUGGAAAGCUCGUUUUGAAGUUUUUGGAGUUUGUCUGGAUUGUCGAGAAGAUGGUAUGUUAUGACAGUUAGCGCGUUUGACGUUGUUUCAAUACCCGCAGCUGUUGUAGAUCGGAUUUCUUGGAGAAUUCGCUCAGGAGUUUUCUCUUCAACUUCCAAAUUAGAAUCAAGGAUUUGGUCGAUCAACGUGUAUCCCUUUGAUAUUUCCGUUUCCACACGCUGAGAGCCUUUACCUCUAUCUAUUUGUAUUUCAUCAAUCUUACGACGAAAUCGUUCUUCCAGUUCAAAAAACAAGCCCAGACCAGGGUUUGAGGAGGAUACCCAGGCUCGAGGGAAGUGUUUUAAAAUUUCAAGUAACCAGGUGACCUGCCUAGAUACCAUCACCAUUUCUGAUAAAGUUCGCAACGCCC